CUCGGGAUAAGAAUUACCAUUGCUGGCCGGAGCCCUUUGUACAUAUAAAGUGCUUUGAAGCCAUUUCCUUGCUAAUUUCAGACUGAUCCUCCGAGGCAGGUGGGCGGCGAGAGUUAUGCUUUUCUCAUUGAUUUCAGCACAAAGAAAAAAGGCAUAACCUACUUUUGCGAAGUAAAAAGAAAACUACAAGAAAAGCCUCCGCAAAUUGUCCCGCAUCGGCAUUUGUAGGGCUCGCUGCUUUCGCUCCCAGAAACAGAAAGUUCAAGACCUCUCCUAACUCAGAAAUGCCAGAUCCUCUCCCUUCUGUUUCUGUCAAGCCUUCUCUGGAGCAGAUCACUGACAUGCUGAACUAUACAAUCAGCCAGGGUCAGGCUUGGCUUACUUCAGCAGAUAUGGGUUGGUCCCUGAGAUUCCUGCCAUCUCUAAAAUUUGGGCUUCUGGAAGAGUUAAGCCUGAAAAAGAUCAUCAAAUCUGUUUUUAGAGAGGCAGAAAGAGGCUUAGGAGGUCCUGGGGGAGACCCCGGUGUGCAGGAGAGGGACUCAUUGGCUUUUGGAGAAGACGAAGUUUGUUCUUCUAUUCCCCCAGAAGAUUGACCAGCUUUGGGCUAUUUCUGGGUCCCCUUUUCUCCAGAAACAGAGCCCAAAGUUUUCUUUUCCUACCUAAUAUUCGUGUAGGGCUCUCUGCAAGGAGUGUUUAUUUUGUCUUUUGGGCCUUGUUCCCGAUGUAAGUUCUGUAUAUUUUCUGUUGGUAAUUAACUUCAUUGGUCUAUGUCAAUUUUGUCAGUAUUUACAUUAAAAUGUAAUUAGUAAUAAUAACUUUUAUGAUUUCCAUCCUCAAAGCAUAUUAGUCUACAAUAAGAUAUUUGCUGUCUGUGACAGAAAGUGUUUUAAAAGCCUUCAUUAUCCCAUAAUUUGAUAACAGUGUAUUCAUUAUUGAUAACACGGUGCAUGAAGAUUACAUACAGCAUCACUCAUGUGACCAAUAAGAAGCCUCCCAUUUCCAUAACAAUAAAGAAUUCAUGCCCCGUUCAUCCCACUCUCCGGCAUCCUAUGACCCAUUUAGGGCUCAUUGCAAAAAGCAUCAGAUUUAAAAAUUUA
Monodelphis domestica (gray short-tailed opossum) is the source of this 1097-nucleotide non-coding RNA. The record is from RefSeq and is a predicted model, not a curated record. NCBI's taxonomy places the organism in Eukaryota, Metazoa, Chordata, Mammalia, Didelphimorphia, Didelphidae.